GAUGAACGCUGGCGGUAUGCUUAACACAUGCAAGUCGAACGGAAUCUUCGGAUUUAGUGGCGGACGGGUGAGUAACGCGUGAGAAUCUAGCUUCAGGUUUGGGACAACCACUGGAAACGGUGGCUAAUACCGAAUGUGCCGAGAGGUGAAAGGCUUGCUGCCUGAAGAUGAGCUCGCGUCUGAUUAGCUAGUAGGUGGGGUAAAAGCCUACCUAGGCGACGAUCAGUAGCUGGUCUGAGAGGAUGAUCAGCCACACUGGGACUGAGACACGGCCCAGACUCCUACGGGAGGCAGCAGUGGGGAAUUUUCCGCAAUGGGCGAAAGCCUGACGGAGCAAUACCGCGUGAGGGAGGAAGGCUCUUGGGUUGUAAACCUCUUUUCUCAGGGAAGAACACAAUGACGGUACCUGAGGAAUCAGCAUCGGCUAACUCCGUGCCAGCAGCCGCGGUAAUACGGAGGAUGCAAGCGUUAUCCGGAAUGAUUGGGCGUAAAGCGUCCGCAGGUGGCUGUGUAAGUCUGCUGUCAAAGAGCGAAGCUCAACUUCGUAAAGGCAGUGGAAACUACACGGCUAGAGUGCGUUCGGGGCAGAGGGAAUUCCUGGUGUAGCGGUGAAAUGCGUAGAGAUCAGGAAGAACACCGGUGGCGAAGGCGCUCUGCUAGGCCGCAACUGACACUGAGGGACGAAAGCUAGGGGAGCGAAUGGGAUUAGAUACCCCAGUAGUCCUAGCUGUAAACGAUGGAUACUAGGCGUGGCUUGUAUCGACCCGAGCCGUGCCGUAGCUAACGCGUUAAGUAUCCCGCCUGGGGAGUACGCACGCAAGUGUGAAACUCAAAGGAAUUGACGGGGGCCCGCACAAGCGGUGGAGUAUGUGGUUUAAUUCGAUGCAACGCGAAGAACCUUACCAAGGCUUGACAUGUCGCGAAUCUUCUUGAAAGGGGAGAGUGCCUUCGGGAGCGCGAACACAGGUGGUGCAUGGCUGUCGUCAGCUCGUGUCGUGAGAUGUUGGGUUAAGUCCCGCAACGAGCGCAACCCUCGUUUUUAGUUGCCAGCAUUAAGUUGGGCACUCUAGAGAGACUGCCGGUGACAAACCGGAGGAAGGUGGGGAUGACGUCAAGUCAGCAUGCCCCUUACGCCUUGGGCUACACACGUACUACAAUGCUACGGACAGAGGGCAGCAAGCUAGCGAUAGCAAGCUAAUCCCAUAAACCGUGGCUCAGUUCAGAUCGAAGGCUGCAACUCGCCUUCGUGAAGGAGGAAUCGCUAGUAAUUGCAGGUCAGCAUACUGCAGUGAAUUCGUUCCCGGGCCUUGUACACACCGCCCGUCACACCAUGGAAGCUGGCAACGCCCGAAGUCAUUACUCCAACUUUUCGGAGAGGAGGAUGCCUAAGGCAGUGCUGGUGACUGGGGUGAAGUCGUAACAAGGUAGCCGUACCGGAAGGUGUGGCUGGAUCACCUCCUUU
Molecule: ribosomal RNA, 1462 nt
Filed under: Nostoc sp. Cc2
Lineage: Bacteria; Bacillati; Cyanobacteriota; Cyanophyceae; Nostocales; Nostocaceae
Description: bacterial SSU rRNA
Rfam family: Bacterial small subunit ribosomal RNA
Source: RNAcentral